AUCACUGGCAGCUAACAAUGUUUCCACCAGCCUUUCGGUGGUGUUGGAACUUUUAUUUUGUCCGCAGAAUGCAGUAGUACUGCAGCAACGAGAGGGUCUUGCAAGAAUAUUUACUUGUCACUCAUUGUUUUUAAUUCAUUACACAUCUAUGGUGUUAUAGUGUAAAUCAAACCAAGUUUAAUAUAUAACAAAACUAUUUGCAUGUCACUGCAAAAAUAUAUCGGUAGUAUAACAAAGACGAAAAUAUUACUCAUUUAUAUAAUAGUAUUCAUUUGCCUGAUAGGACAGAAAUGUCACCUUUAAACAAGCACUACAGAUGUUUGGCAAAGGGUGAUAUGAGGAUUUUUGGGAUGUAAAUAUGAUCUUUAGGUGUGCGUUUAUCACAGCAAAUUUUGUCAUAAUUGUGCUUUACCUGGGGAUACAUCCAUGAUGCAGUGAAAGUGGCUGCUUUGCGCAACCUCCGGCACGCAUCCACCUGCUCUCAGUGUCCUGGUUCAUCCGAGAAGCGGCAACCAUUCCAGUGUAAACAAAGGUGCCGAUCGAAAGCUGAAACGGGACUUGUAUGUCCUGACCGGCGAGCGAACUCUGAUACAGAGUUCAGAGUUAAAACCAUGUAUUCCAAGGAGGACAUAUUUGUCCUCUUCGACAGUAAAGAGUUAAGACCCCUGUACUCCCAAAGCAAACCUCGUCUUUAAUUUUCAGGGAGAGUGAUCUAUACUAUCCCUAUUACUACUACUAUUAUGACUAUUUCCAGGUUAAGAGUGACUACCUGGAGGAUGAAAGCAGGGCGGCAGAAGGCAUGGAUUUCGACACAGCCAUCCAGCUCACUUGCAUCGAAAUCAAGCGAGUCUUUAAGCGGAUGAACGGAUGCGCGAUGGACAAGAAGUCAAAUCUUGAGCAGCCGGAGAAGGAAGUCGGUCUACAUGAAUUCCUACCGGCUUACAUCAUCAACACCACCAAACAGAAAACGUUACGUAAGGCUUUGCAGGGAAACUUUAAGAAAUUCUCGGCGUUCUUCGAUUACGAAUCUCACUUCAAGUGCCUCGAGAUUUUGGGAAAAGUUGGAAAGUUUGACAUCGAAAACUUCCGCUGUGCACUCGGCUGUGGUUGGUCUAUUCCUGUCACUCUGCUUGUCGGCCCAAGUGUUGGUAUUUCCUACUGGACAGAUUCUGCCUCUGCCUUGCGUUGAAAUCGCCCAUGACGACAGUGGUGCCGGCAUCCACAGUGUGCUGCGUCAGUACUCCGCACUGAGCACCAUGACAAUAAGGGGAGGCAUCUGGAGGUAUAUAUACGCCUCCUAACUUCAGUUCUGGAAUGCAUCACAAAACCACCGUGGCAUAUCUGGUCCUCAGCAUCCACGUCAACUUGCUUCACACUGUGCAUCAGUGCAUCCUGGCCAAGCAUCACCACUCCUCUAUUGCGUCCACUUCUUGACACAUUUCGGCACACACUAAGUCCCGGUACUUGUACGUUGAAAUAUUUUGUGGCUUCAAGAAUCCAGACGAUGUCAAAGUCCAGAAUAAACUUCAGUAUACUUGGCUCUUGUAACUUGUCUUUGAGACCAGCAAUAUUCCACCAACAAAGCUUCACCUCUCUGUUUGCACCCAAAAAAAAAACGAGGAGUGAAGCUGUCGAUAAUGACGCCAUCUCUUGGCAGCACGCGGUUCUUCCAAUCGUAAGUGAUAUUUACUCCGGCAUUCUCAGCUUUCUCUCGCUCUU
Scylla paramamosain (green mud crab) is the source of this 1719-nucleotide long non-coding RNA. RefSeq lists it as uncharacterized. The record is from RefSeq and is a predicted model, not a curated record. NCBI's taxonomy places the organism in Eukaryota, Metazoa, Arthropoda, Malacostraca, Decapoda, Portunidae. The transcript is spliced from 4 exons.